This 434-nucleotide ribosomal RNA is filed under the name uncultured bacterium. RNAcentral describes it as "partial 16S ribosomal RNA". It matches the Rfam family "Bacterial small subunit ribosomal RNA", at positions 29 to 507 of the family's 1533-position model. The record is from RNAcentral.
AGCGAACGCUGGCGGCAGGCCUAACACAUGCAAGUCGAACGAACCUUUCGGGGUUAGUGGCGGACGGGUGAGUAACACGUGGGAACGUGCCUUUAGGUUCGGAAUAACUCAGGGAAACUUGUGCUAAUACCGAAUGUGCCCUUCGGGGGAAAGAUUUAUCGCCUUUAGAGAGGCCCGCGUCUGAUUAGCUAGUUGGUUGAGGUAAUGGCUCACCAAGGCGACGAUCAGUAGCUGGUCUGAGAGGAUGAUCAGCCACAUUGGGACUGAGACACGGCCCAAACUCCUACGGGAGGCAGCAGUGGGGAAUCUUGCGCAAUGGGCGAAAGCCUGACGCAGCCAUGCCGCGUGAAUGAUGAAGGUCUUAGGAUUGUAAAAUUCUUUCACCGGGGACGAUAAUGACGGUACCCGGAGAAGAAGCCCCGGCUAACUUCGUG